UAGAAGGAGCCAUAGACAAAUACAACAUAAAAUUUAUAUAAGUCAUUUCUAAAAUCUAAUCUACUCUCUUACACAACAGCUUUAAGGAGUCAGAUUGCUAGCUCUGCACUGCAUGGAGUCAGAAUGGUGAUUAAUUUGCUCAUAGCAUAUUUUACUUCUAAUAUGCAACCUCACUGUCAAACCUCCACAUUCUUUGCCUUGGAUUAAUGGACAUUGAUCGUGGCAUAUUGAUUCCUUCCAUCAUAGGUUGCUGAUGCUCUGCAACUGUUCUGCAGUUUUCAGUGACAGCUUGUGGCUUUCUUCUGCACCAUGUCUGCACAUUACAGGUGAAGAUACCUUCCACUGAGAUGCCAUCAUGAAGUGCCGACAGCAGCCCAUUUGCAUGGAGCUGCCAGAGGAGCUGCGUCAGCUGGCAGACAUGCAGAAACUGAGAAGGGAGAAAGUAAUAGAAGACUACAGAAUGAAUGAGGAUGGUCUUUUGAUCCAACCAGCCAUGGAAUUUAAUAGAGGGAAACAAUCCACAGAAGGAUAGAAACUACAGAGAUGAUGUCGAUUUAUUUCCCACAAAAAAAAAAAAAAAAGGCAGGGUCUCACAACACAUCCUUCAACAAUCAAGGAUAUACUUUUUCAAAGCAGCACUUGAAACUCAAAUUCAUGUGGUAAAAUCUGUGGGAGGACCUUAAACCGUUCUCAAGCAGACUGUAUGAAUUUAAUUUCUGACACAGGUGAUUUGAUGAGCUUAGAUUGGAUGUUUGGAGACAUCCAAGUGAAAAAAGAGGCUACUCCCCUUGCAGAGGUGUCAAACAAAAGCUCCUGACUUUACAAUGAGAGGUAAUUCAACAUUCCACUGUCAAAUGGAAAUAACCAUGGUCUAUCUUUUGGAGGAAAUUCCUGCUGUGUCUGACCUUCUCUAGGUCUAUUUUUGAGAUCCAUUUUUUCCAAGAGAUAUUUUUGAAGAGUGACUUUUAUUUUUCUUGCAUUGUUAACAGACCACUUUCUUAAACUGUAUUAGUUCUUUCGCUACCUGCUGCAGGUAUGUAAAACUCAUUAGAGCAGCUUCCUGCUGGAAGAUGCAGACCAUCACCACCACCGUUGUUUGCCACGCUGCCGCAUCCAGCUCUGUGGAUAAGGCUGUAAGCUCUGUGCUGUGUGGUGUGUGUAAAAAGCACUUUAGGAGGUAUAGACCAGUCCCUCCCCAUUCAAAAUAAAGUAUUAGGGCAAAACUACUGCUCUACCA
This 1237-nucleotide long non-coding RNA is filed under the name Serinus canaria (Common canary). RNAcentral's name for it is "lncRNA (ENSSCAG00000002514.1)". The record is from RNAcentral. Lineage: Eukaryota; Metazoa; Chordata; Aves; Passeriformes; Fringillidae.